GAACGAACGCUGGCGGCGUGGCUAAGGCAUGCAAGUCGAACGAACAUAUUACCAACGGGUAACGUGAGGGAUAUGUUAGUGGCGAACGGGUGAGGAAUACAUGGACAACGUACCCGUGGACUCGGGGAUAGCGGCGGGCCGCAAGGCUCUUUAGCGAAAGUGCCGGUAAUACCCGAUGACCCCGCGUGAUCGCAGUGAUCGAGCGGGCAAAGCUCCGACGGUCCGGGAUCGGUUCAUGUCCAUCAGCUAGUUGGUG
Molecule: ribosomal RNA, 256 nt
Filed under: uncultured bacterium
Lineage: Bacteria
Description: partial 16S ribosomal RNA
Rfam family: Bacterial small subunit ribosomal RNA
Source: RNAcentral